This 253-nucleotide ribosomal RNA is filed under the name uncultured bacterium. RNAcentral's name for it is "partial 16S ribosomal RNA". It matches the Rfam family "Bacterial small subunit ribosomal RNA", at positions 524 to 776 of the family's 1533-position model. The record is from RNAcentral.
UACGUAGGGUGCAAGCGUUGUCCGGAAUCACUGGGCAUAAAGCGUACGUAGGCGGCGUCGUAAGUGUCGGAUGAAAUCCCACGGCUUACCCGUGGAACGGUCCGGCAUACUGCGGUGCUAGAGGAUGGUAGAGGAGAGCGGAACUCUUGGUGGAGCGGUGAAAUGCGUAGAUAUCAAGAGGAACACCGGUGGCGAAGGCGGCUCUCUGGUCCAUGUCUGACGCUGAGGUACGAAAGCUAGGGGAGCAAACGGG